Molecule: long non-coding RNA, 1682 nt
Filed under: Homo sapiens (human)
Lineage: Eukaryota; Metazoa; Chordata; Mammalia; Primates; Hominidae
Description: PREDICTED lncRNA (TCONS_00040896)
Source: RNAcentral
AGAAGUGCUUAUUUCCCCUUCGCUUUCCACCACGAAUAUUUUUCCUGAGGCCUCCCAGUCAUGCUUCCUGUUUUGCCUGCAGAACUGCAUUUAUGAAGUAGGGACCUGGAAUUGAAGAGACUCCUAAAGGAGAGACAGAAGUUUGAAAGAGCAAGAAGAGUGGAUGUGGAUCCAGACAGAAAAAGAGAACAGCAAAUAUUUGAAAGAGCUUAAGACGUACUCCUCAAGGGGUUUCUCCUUUUGCGUCUUUCUCAUUUCUUUUGCUGCCACCGUGUAAGAAGUGCCUUUUGCCUCCUGCCAUGAUUCUGAGGCCUCCCCAGUCAUGUGGAACUGUACCACAGAUAGAAGCCUUGAGAAGCUUACUUUGGUCAGAAAUUUUGCCUUUGUCUGCAGGCUUCUACCAGUUCGAUUCCAUCUGUGGGUCUUAGGUUUCAGUUACCUGAAGUCAAAUGUGGUCCAAUACACAGACUGGAAUAAGAGACAUUGGAGACUCCAAAAGAAUAUUUUCUGGUAGACUGAUAUAUUUCUCCUAAAAAAUUUGGAAAAAUUUUGUGAUGAAGAAGCUACCUGGGCCUGAAGAUAUCUUUUCUGGUAAGAUUCAAAUUACAAAUUCAAUUGCUAUAAUAGAUACGUAGAUUUUCUAAUUCUUUUUGCAUCAUUUUUGAUAUGUUGGGUACUUUGAGACAUUAAUCAAUUUCAUCCAAAGAAAAAUGUUUGUAAAAAUAUAAAAAGAAAGUACACUAUAUAAUUUUCAUGCAUUAAUACAUAUGAUAAAUUUUCAUUUAUAAAUUGUUAGUGUAUAAAUGUGAGAAAUUUUGAAUAUUUUUAGUUUUUUAAUGUUUGUUACAUAUGAUUUUCAAAUGCAUAUUUAUAACAAUACCUGUUCUGUUACAGAGAUGACUCAUGUUGGGUCUUGAUUUCAAAGGUUGAUUUAUAUUCAAAGAAAAUUUUCUUCAUAGAAAGAAUUUUUAAUUACACUUUGGAAAACACUCUUGUUUCAGUCAUAAAACAAAUGAUAUUAGCUGUUGAUAGAAUGAGAGAGCAUUUCAAGAAACAUAAUCUAUAGAAUUAGAUAAAUUAUUAAAGGGUAGUUCCUAAUUAGGCUUAUAAACAUCAAUAAUUAAUAAUUCCCCAAACUCAUAACAAAAGUGCUUUAUUCUUUUCAAAGAGUUUUCUUUUUAUUUCCGUAUUAGAUGCUCACAUCAACUCUCUGAGGUAACUUGGGAAAACAUUACCCUCAUUUAUUGGGUGAGAAAUGAAUUCUUGGGGAUGUGUGCAGUUUGUUUAUUAUAUAAAUACUAUGAGAAGAAAGGUUCUCUGAAUCCCAGGGCAGCUUCAUCAUCAGAGGGCUAGCGUGGAAUUAAUGUAAAAUUCUAACAUUUCACUGUGUGAACCAUGCUUUUCUCCAGGUCCUUACAACGUAUAAUAGUUUAUAAAUCCAAGCUAACAAAUGUGCUACAAUUAAAGUAAACCAAAUGAAUCAAAAUAAAUAAAACAAAACAAACAACAACGAGAAUACAACUAUCAUGACAGAAAUCUCAUUAGGAGAGAAUCUGUGAAUCAUUUAGGGAGAAAAAUGAUGGAGUGCUCUGUAUUGAAAUAAUACGCAUCUCUACAGUCAACAGUUAAAAUAGGAAAGAAGGAAGGGAGGGAGGGAGAAAAGAAGGGAGAAAGGUAAGGUG